AGGGUUUGAUUAUGGCUCAGAUUGAACGCUGGCGGCAGGCCUAACACAUGCAAGUCGAGCGGUAGAGAGGUGCUUGCACCUCUUGAGAGCGGCGGACGGGUGAGUAAUGCCUAGGAAUCUGCCUGGUAGUGGGGGAUAACGCUCGGAAACGGACGCUAAUACCGCAUACGUCCUACGGGAGAAAGCAGGGGACCUUCGGGCCUUGCGCUAUCAGAUGAGCCUAGGUCGGAUUAGCUAGUUGGUGGGGUAAUGGCUCACCAAGGCGACGAUCCGUAACUGGUCUGAGAGGAUGAUCAGUCACACUGGAACUGAGACACGGUCCAGACUCCUACGGGAGGCAGCAGUGGGGAAUAUUGGACAAUGGGCGAAAGCCUGAUCCAGCCAUGCCGCGUGUGUGAAGAAGGUCUUCGGAUUGUAAAGCACUUUAAGUUGGGAGGAAGGGCAUUAACCUAAUACGUUAGUGUUUUGACGUUACCGACAGAAUAAGCACCGGCUAACUCUGUGCCAGCAGCCGCGGUAAUACAGAGGGUGCAAGCGUUAAUCGGAAUUACUGGGCGUAAAGCGCGCGUAGGUGGUUCGUUAAGUUGGAUGUGAAAUCCCCGGGCUCAACCUGGGAACUGCAUUCAAAACUGUCGAGCUAGAGUAUGGUAGAGGGUGGUGGAAUUUCCUGUGUAGCGGUGAAAUGCGUAGAUAUAGGAAGGAACACCAGUGGCGAAGGCGACCACCUGGACUGAUACUGACACUGAGGUGCGAAAGCGUGGGGGAGCAAACAGGAUUAGAUACCCUGGUAGUCCACGCCGUAAACGAUGUCAACUAGCCGUUGGGAGCCUUGAGCUCUUAGUGGCGCAGCUAACGCAUUAAGUUGACCGCCUGGGGAGUACGGCCGCAAGGUUAAAACUCAAAUGAAUUGACGGGGGCCCGCACAAGCGGUGGAGCAUGUGGUUUAAUUCGAAGCAACGCGAAGAACCUUACCAGGCCUUGACAUCCAAUGAACUUUCCAGAGAUGGAUUGGUGCCUUCGGGAACAUUGAGACAGGUGCUGCAUGGCUGUCGUCAGCUCGUGUCGUGAGAUGUUGGGUUAAGUCCCGUAACGAGCGCAACCCUUGUCCUUAGUUACCAGCACGUAAUGGUGGGCACUCUAAGGAGACUGCCGGUGACAAACCGGAGGAAGGUGGGGAUGACGUCAAGUCAUCAUGGCCCUUACGGCCUGGGCUACACACGUGCUACAAUGGUCGGUACAGAGGGUUGCCAAGCCGCGAGGUGGAGCUAAUCCCACAAAACCGAUCGUAGUCCGGAUCGCAGUCUGCAACUCGACUGCGUGAAGUCGGAAUCGCUAGUAAUCGCGAAUCAGAAUGUCGCGGUGAAUACGUUCCCGGGCCUUGUACACACCGCCCGUCACACCAUGGGAGUGGGUUGCACCAGAAGUAGCUAGUCUAACCUUCGGGAGGACGGUUACCACGGUGUGAUUCAUGACUGGGGUGAAGUCGUAACAAGGUAACC
This 1499-nucleotide ribosomal RNA is filed under the name uncultured Pseudomonas sp. Its description in RNAcentral is "bacterial SSU rRNA". It matches the Rfam family "Bacterial small subunit ribosomal RNA". Lineage: Bacteria; Pseudomonadati; Pseudomonadota; Gammaproteobacteria; Pseudomonadales; Pseudomonadaceae. The record is from RNAcentral.